Leopardus geoffroyi (Geoffroy's cat) is the source of this 836-nucleotide long non-coding RNA. RefSeq lists it as uncharacterized. The transcript is spliced from 2 exons. Lineage: Eukaryota; Metazoa; Chordata; Mammalia; Carnivora; Felidae. The record is from RefSeq and is a predicted model, not a curated record.
GAGGUCUGGACUGAGCCGAAGUCAGACGCUUAACCGAUUGAGUGACUCAGGUGAUGUGACUGUCCACAUAGAAAAUCCAGGAGAGGGCCACCUGGGUUAAGCGUUGGUUAAGCGUUGGAAUUCUCUCUCUCCCUCUCUCUCUCUGCCCCUCCCCUGCUCACACCCUCGCUUUCAAAAUAAAUAAACUUCAAAAGAAAAGAAAGCCCAGGAGAAUCUGCAGCUAGAUUAUCAGAGCUAAUAAGAACAUUUAGCAGUUAUGAGAUACAAAAACCAGUUGUGUUUCUGUGUCCCCUCAACACGCACGUGUGUUGUGGAAAAUCAACCUCUGUGCUCCAGAGCCAAAAUGUAACACGCAGAGACGGUCUGGGGACAAAGAGGGACAAUAGUUUUAUCACUUUGCCAGGCAAAGGAGGCCACAGCAGGCUAGUGCCUUCAAAACUGCAGACCGGCCCGGGGUAAAAUGCUGAGGGGUUUUAUAGGAAAAUACAGGAUCCAGGCAGUGCCAGUAGGAAUCUGGACCGGGAUGCCAGCCACGUUCGUCAUCUUCAAGAUGGUCUUGUGACCAGCGAUGGCGCCGACAAUCAAGCUUCAUUACUGAGAAUCAAUACCGAGUCCCUGGAACAAAGGAUUCUGCAGAAAAACAAGUGGAGGGGAGGAGGCUUCAAGAAUGAGGAAGAGGAAAAUUGGCUCAGUUUAAAGUCAAGCCUUGCUGGAGCAUUAGUGUGUCCACCUUCAUUUUCCAUCUUUGCGUUUCUAUAGCAGCUUCAGGUGCUUACCAGAGCACGGGAAAUAGCAAAUACUUAGGAAAUAAGCCUAAUAAAAAAGAAUUUGUAAGA